This 368-nucleotide unclassified non-coding RNA is filed under the name soil metagenome. RNAcentral's name for it is "partial contains 5.8S ribosomal RNA, internal transcribed spacer 2, and large subunit ribosomal RNA". The stretch from base 1 to 120 matches the Rfam family "5.8S ribosomal RNA", at positions 35 to 154 of the family's 154-position model. The record is from RNAcentral.
GAUGAAGAACGUAGCGAAAUGCGAUAAGUAAUGUGAAUUGCAGAAUUCAGUGAAUCAUCGAAUCUUUGAACGCACCUUGCGCUCCUUGGUAUUCCGAGGAGCAUGCCUGUUUGAGUGUCAUUAAUAUAUAUCAACCUGUCUGGUUGGAUGGUGGGUUUGCUGGCCUUUUUGGGUCAGCUCACCUUAAAUGCAUUAGCGGACAAUAUUUUGUGAACUGUUCAUUGGUGUGAUAAUUAUCUAUGCUAUUGAAUGUGAAGCAAGGUUCAGCUACUAACGGUCCAUUGACUUGGACAAAAUUAUUUUUAUCAAUGUGACCUCAAAUCAGGUAGGACUACCCGCUGAACUUAAGCAUAUCAAUAAGCGGAGGA